RNAcentral lists this long non-coding RNA (4627 nucleotides) under Citrus x clementina. RNAcentral's name for it is "Citrus clementina (C. clementina) long non-coding RNA (CCLE_LNC003479)". The record is from RNAcentral. Lineage: Eukaryota; Viridiplantae; Streptophyta; Magnoliopsida; Sapindales; Rutaceae.
AAUAAUCCUGUGUGAUGCAUGCACCGUACGCGAGAUUUUUCGUCCACUGAUAUGCUGCCACGUCACCAUCAACAGUACAUAAGAAUUUUAGUCCAACAGGAUCGUGACACCUCAUCAGUCAAUGCCACAUCAUCGGUCAAUGCCACGUCAUCAUCCGUCUAUGUGAACAGUGUCGUGAACAGUAACGUAUACAGUAUCGUACACGUGAAUAGUACCGUACAUGUGAAUAGUGCCAUUUUUCCUUUUAUGCUCCUCCUAAGGUUUUCGACCGUCCUGAGUUCAAAAGUGAUGUCCGUUUUGCCGUCUGAUCUCUCCUUUAUUGUGAAAUGACUAUAAUGCCCCUAAAAUACAUAAAUUACUUAAUUAAAAUAACACACACGUAAUUACAUCACAAGAAGGUUAAAUACAUAAAAGUAAGGGUUGUUAGUAAGACUUGAAAUGUAAAAUGACGGUUUUCUCCUUUAUAAAUAUGCAUUUUCUAACACUCAACAAAUAGCAUUGGUUUUAUGCACUGGGAAAUAUUUAUUCAAAAAUUUAGUUACCAUUUGUUCCCAUGAUGCAAUGCUAUUGGCAGGCAAUGUAUUAAGCCAUGAACGAGCUCUAUCCUUUAAAGAAAAUGGAAAUAAUCUGAGUUUAACAUCAUCGUCUGAAAAAUUCUCGUAUUUAAAAGUUUGACAAAUAGCAUGAAAAUCAUUCAGAUGAUUAUAUGGGUCCUCAUUUUCUAAGCCAUAGAAUGUGGGGAGACAAUUUAGCACACUAGGUUUUAGUUCAAAGCUCCUAGCAACUACAUUUAGGUAUCUUAUGCAUGAUGUGCUCAAAUUAGCUAAGGGACUGAAGUAAUCCUUAAAUGGCCUCUCCUGUGGUUGCAAAUCCAUUUUAUUUUUAAUUUGUUUGUGUGUGCGAAGUGUUCUUUCUAGUUCAAGGUCUAUAGGUUCAAGAUUAGGUAAUAAUGACCUACGACCAUGCAUGCAAAACAAAUAAAAUAAAAAUAAAGAUAGGAACAAAACAAGUAAAAAUAAAGAAGAGGGAGAAAUGACAAUAAUAACCUUAUUGCGCUAUUAUAACCUUACUAAAAAAAAUACACAAAAACAAAUACGUGAAAUAAAUUAACUAAAAAUUAAAUUAAUAAAAUAAAAAAAUAAAAAAAAAUAAAAAUUACAAAGAAAAAUAAAUUGAAAAUUAAAUCACAUAAUUUUAAAGAAGAGAAAAAGAAAAGAAAUACUAACCUUUAAAUGUAGAUUCACUUUUUUUCUUUUUUUUUUUAAUUAAAAAAAAUAGAAGAAAACAAAUAAAAGAAAUUAUUAAAAAAAAUUUAAUUCUAUGAAUUAAAAUUACUUACCUCCCCGGCAACGGCGCCAAAAACUUGUUGUGCAAAUUUUAAUGUACUCGCAAGCGCACGAAUCUAUUGUAGUAUAGACUAAUGGUGACGAGUGUCGAUCCCACGAGGAGGUGGAGUUUAAUUGUGUAUAGAAUUAAUUUUGUAAAUGGGUUGUUGGAUUUAUGGUGGAAAUGAUUUGGAAUAUGCUAAAACUUAAAUUAAAAUGGCGAGAAUAAAUUCUAAAAUUGGAAUUGAAAUGGCGAGAAUAAAUUCUAAAAUUGGUAUUGAAAUGGCGAGAAUAAAUUGACGAGAAUUAUAUUGAAAUGACGUACUUGGGUAUCUGGAUCCGUAUCAACAUGCAUCAUGGGCUAAAUAUUCCUUAUUAAUGCCAAUUAAAUCAUGAGGGGGGAAUCCACACCUCAUGAACCACGCUCUAAUCAAUAUGGUGCUAAGGGCUUAUCGUGCCAAAUAAUAAUAACCUUGUACUAGAGGGCCGGUGAAACCAAGGCGGUACUAGACAAGAUUAGUAUUAUUUGUCGACGAGAAGUCAAAACAUCCACAAAAACUAGAGGAGAAGAGAAAAUAAAUUUACCAAAUUAAGCCCAUGACACAUGUUGAGACUUCACCUUCAACCCAAGCUUGAAAGAAAAUUAGCCACUCAUAAUUGAACUAAGGGCAAAAUGGGAAUUUAUUAAAAUAUGAAGAAAAUACAAGAUGGAGAGGGAAUUACAGAAAAUGGAUCCCAAAAAUGGAUUCAGAGAUAUCAAAUUAGGGGGGAGAGGCCCCAUUUUUAUAGAUACAUGGAGUAAAUCAUGGCCAUCGGAUUAAAAACAGUUUGGACGCUCAGGAUUGCGCCACGUCAUCAGUUAACAGUCCACGGUUUGACCACGCGGAUGAACAGUAACACGGUUUGACCCGACUUUGAAUAGUAACGCGGUUUGACCCGGAUGAACAGUAACGCGGUUUGGUUGAAAAUAAUCCUGUGUGAUGCAUACACCGUACGCGAGAUUUUUCGUCCACUGAUAUGCUGCCACGUCACCAUCAUAAGAAUUUUAGUCCAACAGGAUUGUGACACCUCAUCAGUCAUUGCCACAUCAUCGGUCAAUGCCACGUCAUCGAUCCGUCUAUGUGAACAGUGCCGUGAACAGUAACGUAUACAGUCCCGUAUACGUGAAUAGUACCGUACAUGUGAAUAGUAUCAUUUUUCCUUUUAUGCUCCUCCUAAGGUUUUCGACCGUCCUGAGUUCAAAAGUGAUGUCCGUUUUGCCGUCUGAUCUCUCUUUUAUUGUGAAAUGACUAUAAUGCCCCUAAAAUACAUAAAUUACUUAAUUAAAAUAAAACACACGUAAUUAAAUCACAAGAAUGUUAAAUACAUAAAAGUAAGGGUUGUUAGUAAGACUUGAAAUGUAAAAUGAUGGUUUUCUCCUUUAUAAAUAUGCAUUUUCUAACACUCAACACUGAGGCUGUGAGCUACACAAGUACUUAAUAAAUUGGUUUCCUUAAACUGCAAUUAAAGGUAAAACUCUGAAAAUGUGGCCUGGAAAGCAUGCACAAGACUAUGAUUCCAUUCAUGUGUUUGAGUGUCCAACUUAUUAUCAUGUAAAGAAUGAUAAGUUUGAUCCUCGUGCAAGAAAAACUAUCUUUGUGGGAUUUAGAGGUACAGUUAAAGGCUACAAGUUAUAAGAUCUUGAAGAUAAAAAGUUUGUGUAUAUCAAAGAUGUCACUUUUGAUGAAUCCUCUAUGCUAAAGGCUUCAAGUUUCCAACAACUGGAGAACAAGACCAAUAAGACAUUGCAGCGGGUGGAGUUUGAUGUAACUUCAUAUGUACCAGUUAGUUCUAUAUCAGUGAAGAUUUCAACUUUGGAGGAGACCCCAAUAGUAGAAGAAGAAGUUGAACUUAAUGUGUAUCUAAGGUUGUUUGCCUUUUCUUUGUUCCAAAAUUGAACUUGUUCUCGUCCUUAAUUUGUAUACACCAUGCACUAGACAAGAAUUUAGGUCUUUAGCGACCAAAUUUUUAGCAACGAAUUUUUUCUUGUCACCCUAGGUAUGUUUUAGCGAUGAAAAAAUAAUUUCAUUUCAAAAUAUGUAAGAAAUAAUUAACAUUUAUUUCAAGUUUUUAGUGAUGAAUUUUUAGAGACAAAUUUCUUUUUCAUUUCUAAAUAUGUAUUUUGAGCAAUAGAAUUUCGCUUUCGUCCCUAAUUAUAUAUUUUUAGCAAUGCAAUUGUAAGUCUAUCGCUGAAAAUAUUCGUUUAAGUCAAACUUUUGAUCAUUUUGCGACAUCUAAAUUUGAUUGCUAAACGUAUACUUUUAGUGACGAAAUCUAAAUUUCAUUGCCGAAAAGAUUCAUUUAAAUAUUUAAAAUAAUGCCAAAUUUUUUGACGUUUUGAGACAAAAAUUAAAUUUUGUUGCUAAACAAGUACUUUUAGCGACGGAAUCUAAAUUUCCUCACUGAAAAUAUUCAUUUAAAAUUUUAAAACAAUGUCAAAAUUAUAGGCAUUUUGCGACCAAAAUUAUACUUUGUUGCUAAAUGUCUUUUUGCCGGUGAAAUUUAAGUUUGUUGUUGUAAGCACUCAUUUAGAUAUUUAAAAUAAUGUCAAAAUUUUAAACCUUUUGAGAUAAAAUUUAGCAUUUGUCGCUAAAUAUGUAUUUUUAGUGAUGAAAUUAUAAGUUCGUCACUGAAAAUAUUCAUUUAAGGAUUAAAAACUUGUAGUUUUCCCCCAAAAUUUAAGACUUUAGUAAUGAAAUUUAAAUUUUGUCGAUAAAUGUGCAUUUUUAGUGACGAAAUACAAAAAAAAAUUGUGAAAAUUUAAAAACUUUUAGCCAAUUAUUUUUCGCCAAAAUUUAAGACUUUUAGUGACGAAAUUUUUCAUCACAAAAUGUGUACUUUUAGCGAUAAAUUAUUAGAUUUUAUUGCUAAAUGUGUAUUUUUAGCAUUGAAAUUUAUAAAAAAAAAAUCAUUUAAAUAUCAUUUAUUUCAUUCUUUCUUUCUCUUGUUCUUUCAUUCUCUCAUUCCCUUAUUAUUUUUUUCUUUAAUUCUCUCAUCUUUAAAUAUAUAAUUCUCAUUUUCUAAUUUAAUCUCUACUUUUUUCUCUUUUAUUUUUAACAUGGUGUAAUUUUUUUUUGUUUUCACUUACCUUAUUUAUUACAUCAUAUAUUAUUAUUACGUUUGUGUUUAUUUUGUUAACUAAUUAUUGAUUUUUUAUAUGUAGGAAAUUUUGAAGAUCAAUUACACCAGGAUGAGGAAAAUAAAGAAAUUUAUAUUCAUUUGGAAAAAUGUUCUCUUAAAAAAAUAGAUAUUAAAUUUUGUAA